UGUGCUUUACAGGAGGAUCAGAUGUUGCUGGACAAAGAUAACACAAGAAGAUUUUGAUGACAGAAAGACAGAAGAACCUUUUUUCCUCCUUCUAAAGAGACUGUGGAUCUGAAACAAUUAGCAGCAACUGCCACCAGGUGUGUGAUAACAGACAAGAAAAAGAACCUCAUCAGACUCCUGGUAGGAAGGAUAAUAUGUUCAUUACAACUGCAAGUUCUUAAUGCCAAGCCUUACCCUGUUUGCUGCCUGGAUUCACUACUGGAACCUGCUGCUUGCUCUCCAUCUGUUCCCGGAACUGUUGCUGUAGCUGCUUUUGUCGCAAUUUCCGCUGGAUGGUUUGGCUCUGUGAUUUUGAAACUUGUGACAAUGCAAUCCUGGCAAAGCAUCUGUGGCAUCUUUACUUGGUGAGGCCUCACU
Rhea pennata is the source of this 417-nucleotide long non-coding RNA. RefSeq lists it as uncharacterized. The record is from RefSeq and is a predicted model, not a curated record. NCBI's taxonomy places the organism in Eukaryota, Metazoa, Chordata, Aves, Rheiformes, Rheidae. The transcript has 3 exons.